ACGCGAUCCUCCGAGGUGGCGCUGACGACAGCGCCCAUUGUUCCUCUGCUUUCUAAGCUAUCGCCCCACUGGAUCCAUCAAAGGACCUGUGGCCAUGCUGUGCUUCGGCGAAGCUGCAGAAGGUGCUCUACGCCUGAGAAUCGCACGCAGCAGCAAAACUGGCGUCAUUGAGGAGGUAAUGUACGUGUCCUGACCUGCCGGCGUGCUGCCCUUCGACGACGCUGCGGUGGCGGCUCGAUGGCGGAGAAUCGCACGCAGCAGCACCGCCACGAGCAGCGCUCACUUCGCCACGUGCAUCGCAUGCUGCAGCUGCUGCGCAUCCAGCGAACCAGUGGUGCCGAACGAGGUCACGUGGGCUACUCUUUCUCUAGAAAGAGUCCCCGCGCGUGGUCAGCACGUUCAUCUUAACGCUUUUGCUUUCGUGAUUAGUCACUUUUUGUUCUACUACUCCUGUAAUAUAUCAAUAAAUAUGGUUUUGA
Long non-coding RNA from Dermacentor andersoni, 479 nucleotides. RefSeq lists it as uncharacterized. Lineage: Eukaryota; Metazoa; Arthropoda; Arachnida; Ixodida; Ixodidae. The record is from RefSeq and is a predicted model, not a curated record.